UCUCCUGUAGCUCAGUGGUAGAGCGUCCGACCAGUGUGCGGAAGGUCAUCAUUAGAUUCUACUCCUUUUGGGAGAA
Non-coding RNA from Desmophyllum pertusum, 76 nucleotides. The record is from the annotation of a GenBank genome assembly. Lineage: Eukaryota; Metazoa; Cnidaria; Anthozoa; Scleractinia; Caryophylliidae.